AUCACCGUCUCUGAGUCUCUCAUCAACCCUAGGUCUCUAAUCGCGUGUUCUCUCCCUCUCUACCUACUGAUUUCGAGUUUUCGACGGUACCCAUCACAUCCCGCCAGACUCUUCGCUAGAUACAGUUCAUCCGCGUACGAGAAACUGUUCACUGAUAUGCUAGGUUUCCUCUUUCCCGUGGUUUUCUUCUCACAAACGGCGUUGUACAACUUUCAAUCAAGAAAGGGUUAUUAGGUAAGGAUGCAGAAGGAUAAGCGGAAAUCGUGGAAGGAGAAGGAGGAAGCGUGCUCUGUGCGGUUGAGUAUGAGAAGGAGAAGCGAAGAUCGUGGAACAACAGGGUACUCUUGCAUAUGAGGCAGAAAUUGGUUUUGAAAGGCUUGCAGAAACGUCUGGUCAUGUGUGUGGCAAACCUGAAACAAGAACUGAAGAUGCCAAGGUUGCUAACACAGCAAACCUGCUGCUGCUGCUGGAAAAGAGGGAAAAGCUUUGAGCUUUUCUAGGUUGCUGCAGAGAGAACAAGAAGGAAAGACCCUCUAAACAGCUUCAAUAAGUAGUUAAGUGGAUGGAAUAUCAAUGACCACCAUUAUUGGGCUGUAAGCUCAUCUAACCAUUGUUACUCUCUCUUCAGUAAUAGUACAUUCUAGGUUUUUUUUUUUGCUUCCCACUGUAUUUUGUUCAUUGUUGUUGGUAAUAGUUUUAUUUUAUGGAACUGCCAUAACCUACUUUGGAAUUAUCAGAAAAAUGAGCAAGGAAGAAUAUACUUUAAAUGCAUCUGAAAUUAG
This is a long non-coding RNA of Lotus japonicus, 782 nucleotides long. RefSeq lists it as uncharacterized. Lineage: Eukaryota; Viridiplantae; Streptophyta; Magnoliopsida; Fabales; Fabaceae. The transcript has 3 exons. The record is from RefSeq and is a predicted model, not a curated record.